UGGCGGACGGGUGAGUAACGCGUGGGUAACCUGCCUCAUACAGGGGGAUAACGGUUAGAAAUGACUGCUAAUACCGCAUAAGCGCACAGUACCGCAUGGUACGGUGUGAAAAACUCCGGUGGUAUGAGAUGGACCCGCGUCUGAUUAGCUGGUUGGUGAGGUAACGGCCCACCAAGGCGACGAUCAGUAGCCGACCUGAGAGGGUGACCGGCCACAUUGGGACUGAGACACGGUCCAA
This 238-nucleotide ribosomal RNA is filed under the name uncultured bacterium. Its description in RNAcentral is "partial 16S ribosomal RNA". It matches the Rfam family "Bacterial small subunit ribosomal RNA", at positions 96 to 334 of the family's 1533-position model. The record is from RNAcentral.